UGUUUAUAGGUAUGUAUCAUCUGCUAAGUUUCGCAAAAAAAAUUACCCCUUAAAAGAGUCAUUUAUUGUCUGAUUUCUUCUUUGUUAAUACCAAUAAUAUCUUACCAAGCGGAGGACGAGGUUUGUGUCGUCACUGCUUACUGGAAACGCGAUGUGCUACGUCACAGAUUUAACAGCCAACGGUGGUACAUGAUUGUCAACGCUGAAUUCAUACAAGCGUGAGUUGUCGUGAAGAGUAGUACAGCACUCGUCUUCAGUUCGAUGUUCGGUAGCCAAUAAGUGGAAACGUCUAACAACUAUCGCGAUUCAUUUAACUUGUAGGCCUAUAAUAUAUCGGCAUAGUCUACAACUACAUUUACAUUCAUUUAGAUUCCAUUCGACAACUCGUUUAAUGCGAUACCAAUAAAUUCGAAGAAGCAACAAAUUCAAUAGACUUACCAGAGACUGAAAAUAAAUUCAAAGUUAAUAAUAUGGCCAACGGAGAUGAUCUACACACCCCAGAUGUUGCUGAGAAAUCUGACGGCCUAGAUGAAAUUCAGAGCGGUGAAUCAAUCAACUCGGAAACAGCAUCAGAUAAUGGUAAAUCCCCUGGUAGUGAAGAUGGCACGAAAAGGAAGAAAAGACGAAACAGAACAACAUUUACGAGUUUUCAACUAGAAGAAAUGGAAAGGGUCUUCCAAAAGACCCAUUAUCCAGACGUUUAUGCCAGGGAACAAUUGGCACUUCGAUGCGACUUGACGGAGGCUAGAGUACAGGUGAGACAUUACCACAUUUCCACUGUUUUUUCUGUAAAUACUGUUCAUUAACCACUAUGAUAUCAAUCAUCAUAAAGUAAAUGGUCUACAAGUCAAGAUUACAAUGGGAAACAAUGUUUUCGCUAAGUAUUAUAUUCCUUUAAUUAGCAUUUUAUCGGGGCCCUAUGAUGCAAAACACCUAGUUAAGUAAUACAUCACAUUCAUUACUGGAAGCUGGAAGUAAGGAAUUCAAUCUGCAUUCAUACGGCAGACCAAGGUUGGGACUGCAAACACAGUAGGAGGGAGAAAUCAUAAGUGAAAAGCCUCAACCCUCAACAUAACUAAUUCCCUCACCUAUUGUCUAAACUUUAUAGAAAGCUAAAUUUUCUUUACAUUUCAUAAAUCAUUAUCCAUGUUUGUAAAUGUAAUAAACCCUUAUGCGCUUCACAUUAUCAUUGUAGAAAUAUUUGGUAAUUUUCCAAAAGCACUUAAAAUUAACGAAUUAAAUCAAAUGG
Molecule: RNA transcript, 1249 nt
Organism: Anneissia japonica
Lineage: Eukaryota; Metazoa; Echinodermata; Crinoidea; Comatulida; Comatulidae
Gene name: homeobox protein aristaless-like 4
Exons: 2
Source: RefSeq, a predicted model, not a curated record